GACGAACGCUGGCGGCGUGCUUAACACAUGCAAGUCGAACGGAAAGGCCCUGCUUUUGUGGGGUGCUCGAGUGGCGAACGGGUGAGUAACACGUGAGUAACCUGCCCUUGACUUUGGGAUAACUUCAGGAAACUGGGGCUAAUACCGGAUAGGAGCUCCUGCUGCAUGGUGGGGGUUGGAAAGUUUCGGCGGUUGGGGAUGGACUCGCGGCUUAUCAGCUUGUUGGUGGGGUAGUGGCUUACCAAGGCUUUGACGGGUAGCCGGCCUGAGAGGGUGACCGGCCACAGUGGGACUGAGAUAAGGCCCAGACUCCGACGGGAGGAAGCGGUGGGGAAUAUGGCAAAAGGGGCGGAAGCCGGAUGCAGCAACGCCGCGUGGGGGAGGACGGCCUUCGGUUUGUAAACCGCUUUCGCCUGUGACGAAGGGGGAGUGACGGUAAUGGGUAAAGAAACACCGGCUAACUACGGG
Molecule: ribosomal RNA, 468 nt
Filed under: uncultured bacterium
Lineage: Bacteria
Description: partial 16S ribosomal RNA
Rfam family: Bacterial small subunit ribosomal RNA
Source: RNAcentral